AUUGCCUCAGUAACGGCGAGUGAAGCGGCAAAAGCUCAAAUUUGAAAUCUAGCACUUUCAGUGUUCGAGUUGUAAUUUGAAGAAGGUAACUUUGGUUUUGGCUCUUGUCUAUGUUCCUUGGAACAGGACGUCACAGAGGGUGAGAAUCCCGUGCGAUGAGAUGCCCAAUUCCAUGUAAAGUGCUUUCGAAGAGUCGAGUUGUUUGGGAAUGCAGCUCUAAGUGGGUGGUAAAUUCCAUCUAAAGCUAAAUAUUGGCGAGAGACCGAUAGCGAACAAGUACAGUGAUGGAAAGAUGAAAAGAACUUUGAAAAGAGAGUGAAAAAGUACGUGAAAUUGUUGAAAGGGAAGGGCUUGAGAUCAGACUUGGUAUUUUGCGUUCCCUUCCUUUUUGGUUGGGUUCCUCGCAGUUUACUGGGCCAGCAUCGGUUUGGAUGGUAGGAUAAUGACAUUGGAAUGUAGCUUUACUUCGGUGAAGUGUUAUAGACUUUGUUGAUACUGCCUAUCUAGACCGAGGACUGCGUCUUUGACUAGGAUGCUGGCGUAAUGAUCUUAAGCCGACCGUCUUG
This 566-nucleotide ribosomal RNA is filed under the name Dujonia zeylanoides. RNAcentral's name for it is "[Candida] zeylanoides partial large subunit ribosomal RNA". It matches the Rfam family "Eukaryotic large subunit ribosomal RNA", at positions 74 to 656 of the family's 3401-position model. The record is from RNAcentral. Lineage: Eukaryota; Fungi; Ascomycota; Pichiomycetes; Serinales; Debaryomycetaceae.